RNAcentral lists this long non-coding RNA (1389 nucleotides) under Homo sapiens (human). Its description in RNAcentral is "HSALNT0336566". The record is from RNAcentral. Lineage: Eukaryota; Metazoa; Chordata; Mammalia; Primates; Hominidae.
CAAAAAAAAAAAAAAAAAAAGGUAUAGGUUACAGUGACUGUCCCGAUACAAUUUGGAUCAUUAACAAAUAUAUUUGGCUACCUAUUAUCAUCAAAUGUACCAGAUAAUUUAUAGAACUGAAGCAAUUCUAAAAAUUGCCAGAUGAAUAUAUAAACAAAGCAUUAAAUAGUUAUAAAGUCUUGAUUAGCUAUGACUUUCGAUUUAUUCUUCCUCACUGCUUGCUAUUUUAUGCAAAAUGGGAAAUGAACCAAAAAUAAUUUUCUUGAGAAUUCUGGUUUGAAUAAUUUCUGAGCUGUAAACAAACUUCAUUCAAGUUCAUAGUCCAGAAUAUAGCUGACUCCUUGGGGUUAUACAGUUAUCAAUUUUUGGAAGAAAAAUACUCCCUCACAUCCCAUACAAUUAUUGCAAAGGUUCAGUCAUGUAUGCAAACAGAAUGGCAAACAGGGAUAUUUAAUUCAAAAGAGCAGAUAAUCCAACAUUAUUCCUUUUGGAUUUUAGCACAGAUUGGGAAAGAAUAAUCAGAAAUUUCAUCAACGAUUGCGUCAUUUAGCUGUAUUCUCAAAGUGAAUUGAUUUUUAGAUAAAGCAAUUUGAGCUUCACUUACAAACGCGUCCUUCCUGAAAAGGUUUGCACAGUGCUGAUCUUUCAAAUUUACACUCUUAGGACCUCACUAAGACCUGGAAUAACAAUUCCAGGGGACUGGCAUUCUAAGACUAGCCACGAUUCUAUUGCAGCUUGCAGAAACUGACUGUGGAGGACUAUUUCCCAAUGACUAUCUCUCUGGGGAAAGGUGGCUAAUAGAGGGCAGCUAUUUACUGAAUUAACCCAUAAACCCCAGCUUCCUGCUUUCAAACAGCAGCAGGGUAAAUCUCCACACAACUUUUUAACUAAGGGCCAAAAUAAUGUUUAAAAUUAGUCAUAUCUUGCUCCAUCUCAUCACGGGUAGUUGUUUUAGACAGAGCUGAAACCGAAGAUGUAACAAUUUAGUUUACUCUUGACUCGCAGUACUGCUGUUCUUACAUCUGACUACCUUGGGCUGUGCGGGAAGACGGGGGUUAUGAAGACAAAGAUGGCGAGAGGCACUCUCUGAUUCCACAAAUAACCUGCUCCUGAGAGGUUCAAAGAUGCCACAUUUCUCGUUCCCAUCUAUCUUUUGGGAAAAGGAAGAAAGAAAAUAAAAACCUUUCUUCUUUAUGUUCUGCUAAUGGAAUCUGGGCUUUACAUGGCAUCAAGCAUACAGUAUGAGAGAUUUAGUGUUUUCAUCAAUAUUUCUCCAUAAAGAGAAGGGAAAAUCAUUGCAUUUAAACAACAGAGAACAUUUUAUCCAGAGGAGUUUUGACAAUAGAGAGACUAAAGGUAAAUUAGGGAAUGGGUCAGAUAAUCAUUAAG